This 413-nucleotide RNase P RNA is filed under the name Nakamurella leprariae. RNAcentral describes it as "Bacterial RNase P class A". It matches the Rfam family "Bacterial RNase P class A". From Rfam's summary of the family: Ribonuclease P (RNase P) is a ubiquitous endoribonuclease, found in archaea, bacteria and eukarya as well as chloroplasts and mitochondria. Its best characterised activity is the generation of mature 5'-ends of tRNAs by cleaving the 5'-leader elements of precursor-tRNAs. Cellular RNase Ps are ribonucleoproteins. Lineage: Bacteria; Bacillati; Actinomycetota; Actinomycetes; Nakamurellales; Nakamurellaceae. The record is from Rfam by way of RNAcentral.
CGAGUCGGUCGGGCGGCCGCGUCGACGCCGGAUCCCCGGCGUCGCCGAGGAAAGUCCGGGCUCCACAGGGCAGGGUGGUUGCCAACAGCAACCCGGCGCGAGCCGCGGGACAGUGCCACAGAGAACAGACCGCCGGUGUGUGCUGCACGCCGGUGAGGGUGAAACGGUGGUGUAAGAGACCACCAGCGUCCCGGGUGACCGGGGCGGCUCGGUAAACCCCACCCGGAGCAAGGUCGAGAAACGGGGCGGAUCGUGAGAUCCGCGCCGUGCGCAGGCGUUCGAGGGCGGCCCGCCCGAGCCUGCGGGUGGACCGCUGGAGCGUGUCGGCGACGGCACGCCGAGAUGGAUGGUCGCCGACCGGGAUCGCCGCGAGGCGCCCGGGAACAGAACCCGGCUUACGACCGACUCGUCCC